Long non-coding RNA from Manis pentadactyla (Chinese pangolin), 3419 nucleotides. RefSeq lists it as uncharacterized. Lineage: Eukaryota; Metazoa; Chordata; Mammalia; Pholidota; Manidae. The record is from RefSeq and is a predicted model, not a curated record. The transcript is spliced from 3 exons.
AUAAGCAGCUUUGAGUCCAGCAUAAAACUCUACCUACCUAUUAGUUUUUGGAAAGUUAUUCGAAAACUCUGGUAUUCAUUUUCUCCCUCUAUAAAAUAUUAUAAUACAUGUAAUAUUUUUGAAAGAUGGCAUAGUGCUUAUAAGGAAGGGCUCUUAGAUUGGACAGGCUGAUUGUGAAUUUUGGCUCCAACUCUUGAGAGGAUUCACAUCUCACAGUCUAUGUGCCCUCAAUCUUCUGCAGUGGUCCUGUGCAAGAAAGCUGUAGCAUCGUAACCAGAUUCCACAACAGCUAUAGAAGGUGAUCCAGUUAUCAUCACUUUAUAAGGUGGUUUGACCUGGAUGUAUGCCUUCUUUCUUUCUGGGAAGAGACAGCCCUGCUCUACAAAUGAGGAGGGAAAUGAGGCCCAGUCCAAGUGUUUCACUCCUCCCCAGAAGAUUGUUACUACCCAAAGCUAGUUUAUAUUAUUAUCUUAAAUGUCCAGAAAAGACAACUUUAUAAGACAGAAAGUAAAUUAGUGGAUUCCUGGGAUUGGGAGGGGGAACAAGGAUGAACUGUACAUAGACAGAGAUGUUAUUGGGAGAAUAAAAAUGUACUAAAACUAAUUUAUGAUGGUGGUUGUACCACUUGGUAAAAUUAUUAAACACACUGAAUUGUUAACUUGAAAUGGGUAACUUUUACUACAUGUAAGAUAUAAAAUUAUAAUUCAACAUAUCAGUCUUAUAAAUCACAAACUUUCUUAUUAAAACCUUUUUAUCUUAAGAUAAUACAGUCCAACUACAGGAUUAUAUACUCCAUACUUUUAUAGUAUGAGUCAUAUUCUUAGGUUAAUUGUAAGUUUUAUAAAAUUGAAACUACAUUCAAUGAAAACUGCCCGUCCCACCCCAAAUAAACAAUGAUAAAACUACAGCAAUUUGAAAAACAGGAAAAUAGGUAAUUUUGAGUAGAGCUAUAAAAGUUAGGUACACAAAACAUCCAACAUUCAAACCAUAGCAAUGAGAGAUGUUUGAUAUAUCAUGAUAUACAAUGUAUUGAAGAAGUGGUCCAGAAUUUUUCCAAAUGCAGUACAUAAAGCAUAAAUUUGAAUCCUGUUUGGCUUUGUUGAUCAUAAAUUGGAUUGGUUAAGUAAUUAAAUUUUGGGUUUUGAAGGUCAAAGACAUUGUUUCCCUGGCAUGUUUUACUUGUACUAUUCUAUAUAUAUUUAAUAAUAAUAUAUUAUUGGGUCAAAUGCUUAAAGUAAUUCAAUUAUAGUAAAUGAUAAUACUCAACUAGGGGAGUCAUUAAUCACUUUAAUCUACAUCGUGCAGGCAUAGGAUUCUUUUUAGGGCAUAGACUUUGUAAUGAUUUAGUUUUAGGCAAUAAUGUCCAAAUAUAUUUAGUUUUAAUAAUUCAUGAUAUUGAACAACUUUAAUCAGAUCUACAAUAAAUUUAUUAGCUGGAAAAUAUAGCAUAGAUUCACAUAUUUUAAUUUGAGAUUGUAAAGCUUAUGAUAUGUUAAGUAUUUGGAAUGAAUUAAUUUUUCAUUCCGUUAGAAUUUGUAGGUCUCAGGAGAGCUGUCGGGAUGCCCUGCUCUCUGUUACUUCUCUAUUCAUCUUUGGCAGCAAAAAACCUUUUUAUAGCACUAGGAAUUCUUUUCCCUACUCACCUGCUUGUGAUAUCAUCCUCUUUAUUAUUAUGAUUAUUAUUUUUUGUUAGAGCCACUCCAGAGUAUUGGCUUCAGGUUAUUUUCCUGUUGUCCCUGUUUCUCAGAGAGGUUUGAAGUAGGCAUAGGCACCUCAUUUCCUGGGCCUUUCAAUGACCUUCCUAACUGUCUUUAGGGUCAAGGAGGGAGUAGGGGCAGGAUCACCUGCAUUAAAUGUCUGCAUCUACUUGGGCUCUCUUGUUUUGCCUUUCAGCGCUAAAUGUUUGAGCGAAACUAGAGUUUGGGGAUAUAAUAAGUUGCAUGGGUACAUACAUGCACAGGGAAAGAUAUUUAUUUGUGAUUACUUUCAUAGCGUUUUUGUGAUUGCUGGGUGCCUUUGGGAUCCCCUGUUCUUUUAUUCUUUGCUUAGCCAUCUCUAGGCUUCUAGUGGAUUUUAAAUAAAUCUUCAUCGUAGGCAUAGUUAUCACCAACCAAGUGUGUUGGAGGGUAUGAUCGCUCAAUAAAAAAUGAAGAGAUUCUUUUUAUAUGGGCAAUUAAAAAAUAAAUCAACUUGAGAUACUGGAUCAGGAAUAUUUACAAAUAUUUGCUUGGAGCAUUCUGAAUCUGACAGCCAUAUUUGCUGAGACAUAUUAGGAAAAUAUUGGUUAUUUGGAGGUCUUCAAAAUAUAGUGUUUGAAGAAAAUUCUUACAGCCUGGAAAGCCAAAAACUAAAAAUUAAAGGUCAGUUGAAAUUUUUAAACACCCAGUUUAAAAAAUCUUGUCUUUAGGAAAGAAACUGUGGAAAGUAGAAACAGAGGUGGGAACUAGAAAUAGAAGAAUUAGUAAUAGCAUAGUGAAGUCAAAUUUGGGGAUGUUUUGAUAAAGUACUUAUACAAAUUUGGGAACUUAUAUAAAGUACAGGCAGCAUAGCAAAACAUGAAGAAAGGAGAUCUAGGUCUUGUAUAAUGGUUGCUGAGGAUAUUUGGACCCUCAGAGUAGAAAGGAUACCCAAGGGCAGAGAAUAAGAAGCAAGAGUUGAAAAGAGACUUUAGAAAAUGGAAAAGGAAGCCAAGACUUUGGAGGUAGAUCUUAGAAGCAUUUUAAAAACAGGUCCAAUUCAGCAAUCUGGGAGUCAAGUGUAAGAACCAGGAAGGAGUCUUCUGUACCAAUCAGGAGCUAGAGGCAGAAGGAAUUUUCCAAGAAGGCAGGAAUGACAGCAGUCUGGGUGACAGAAAUUUGUACUAAAAAAUAAGUGCAUGGCACACAAAAAGGAGAGGAAGCAAUGGGAAGUCUGAGGAGCUCCCUCUUGUGUUUCUUUUUUAGAUGAUUGCUUCUCAUUAUUGUAAAGUGUCUUUUUCAGAGAAAAGAGCAAAAGCUGUGUCUCUUAAAUGAGUUGAUGUAAUUCAGAAUUGAGGUGCAAGAACGUGAGUCAAGGGGAUCAUGGAGAGAAUCUCAGACACACUGGAACAUGAAGCUGUGAGUGUCAGUGCUCAGAGUAUUUUAUUCACAAAGGAAAAAGGACUUAUAGCCCAAGUAUCAAGAAAGAGCUGAAAACGUAUUUUGAAACAUUGGUAAUCUUUAUCUUCCUUUCACAUCCUUUUAGUAGAGAGAAUGAGGAUAUUACAAAAGGGGUUGGAGGUUUUUGCUCCAUUUUGCUUUGUUGAAGUAUCACAAAGUAUUAAAUAAAAUACUAUAUAAUGUACUCUAGCAUUUCUCCACAUUUGUUUAUCAAAUAAAGCAACCUAAAUCCCAGUGCCUGACACAAGACAAGCAAACAAAAGUUUACAUGUUAAAACCUUU